CUGGCACUGUUGGCUAAGCAGGCAUGGAGGAUUCUUGAUAACCCUAAAUCUUUAAGUACCCGGAUUCUGAAGGCGGUAUAUUUUCCUAAUACGGAUAUUUUGAGCGAUGAGGUUGGUUCACACCCGUCUCAGAUAGGAAGGUCUGUGAUAGAAGGACGGGAUGUGUUGAAACAGGGACUAAUAAUGAGAAUUGGCAAUGGAGUGUCUACAAAAAUAUGGAACAUGAAUUGGAUACCAAGGCCAGAGAAUAUGCAUCCGAUGGUGUCAUUGGUAACAGAUCCACUGUAA
Molecule: ribosomal RNA, 288 nt
Filed under: Triticum aestivum (bread wheat)
Lineage: Eukaryota; Viridiplantae; Streptophyta; Magnoliopsida; Poales; Poaceae
Description: partial small subunit ribosomal RNA
Source: RNAcentral